This is a long non-coding RNA of Homo sapiens (human), 2240 nucleotides long. Lineage: Eukaryota; Metazoa; Chordata; Mammalia; Primates; Hominidae. The record is from Ensembl.
GACAACUCGCGGGGAUUGUUUUCCACACCGUGGAAGCUUUGUUCUUUUCGUUUUUUGCAAUAAAUCUUGUUGCUGCUCGCUUUUUGGGUCCACAUUGCUUUUAUGAGCUGUACCACUCACCGUGAAGAUCUGCAGCUUCACUUCAGAGCCUAGCGAGACCACAAGCUCACUGAGAGGAACAAACAACUCCAGACGCGCUGUCUUAAGAGCUAUAACACUCACCGCGAAGGUGUGCAGUUUCACUCCUGAGCUAGUGAGACUACGAAGCCACUGGAACGAAGAAACUCCAACCACGUUUGAACAUCAGAAGGGGCAGACUCCAGACGCUUCAUCUUAAGAGCUGUAACACUCACUGUGAAGGUCUGCAGCUUCACUCCUGAGCCAGCGAGACCACGAACCGAUCUGAACAUCAGAAGGGACAGACUCCAGAUGCCCCACCUUAAGAGCUGUAAUACUCACUGCAAGGGUCUGCAGCUUCAUUCUUGAAGUCAGACCAAGAACCCAGCAAUUCCCAACACACAGGGACCAGCUUCUUUCCUAACUCACUUAGGCUCUUCGUGCUGCUCUGGCAACUAACACCCUUGGCUGCAGGGGCUUGGACACUACCCUUAGUCACUGACAAUUGUGUGAAGGCUGCUGUCGUUAACUUCACUUGAUCACCUUAGGCUCCUGUGAAGUGGUGAGCAAUUCAAACAAAUUCCUGUCGUCAAAUCAUGAGUCCACCUGUCCCGAGUUGGAAGUCUGAACUCAUGUUCCUGGAUUCCUCCCAUGCAUCUUGGUGCUGGUGUGGGGCCUGAACUCAGCCAAUCCGCAACACCUCCAGGAGUCUUCCUCUUAGAUGCUGAGGCCACGGAGAAGGAAGCAGCACAAAGAAUGAACCCUGGAGAGGGUGCCAGAGGCAGGCGGGUUCCAGCCAUGUGGCGGCACAGCCUUACUGGGAUAGUCUAGCUGUGUCACUCAGAAUCCUGAUUUUGUUUGGAAGGACAGCGUGCCUGGUUCCAGAUUUCACUUGACUUCAAAAGUGCUUGAGUCAAAUGCUUCAAGAUGGUUGACCAGAGGCAUCUGGUACUCACCUCCUCCACCAAGAAAAACCAAAAUAGAUAUACAUCUUUCCACACCAAUAGACCUUGUUUUCCGAUGUAGCAUUAUUUUUCAUAGUUGGCGAAUAUACAGUUAUGGAUUCAUAACAGCAAGAUGGAGAAAUUGCACUGCAGAGAAAUCUUUAAAAGCAAUUACCUAAUACUGCAGAUUGCUGAACUGUACCCACACCCAAGACUGAGCAUUGGAUCAAUCCAGAAUAUACAUCAGGUGUUCUGCAAUGUCUGCCUAAAACCAUGACUCUGCCUCCUCCAGCUGUUGCUACAUCUCACUAUGGGUUUCCUGUGACAUUUUGAGCAAGUAUGCCUCUGUGACUGGGGUUCUUACACUCCAGAAUGGAUGAGAAGCACCGUAAGUGGCUUUUAAAAUGAAUAUUCCCUGGCCCUUCAGUCGCUCUAUAGGUCAAGAAUCUGAAUUCUCAACCUGUCUAGAAGGUUCUGGUUUUAAUGGUCUGUGGGCUGCACAUUGAGAAACCUGUUCAGCGAGUGCAACAAAGGUUCCACAUGUGAGAAAGGAAGCAUCAGGUCUCUUGAGCCUGUUCUUUAAUCUGUAGGCUGCACCUUCUCUUUAAAUUCUGCUAAUAACACCAUGCGAGAAAACACCCGAGCUUGAAAAGCCCAUGUUCCAACAUAACUGUCCUUCACCACUCUGGAAAAUUAAUGGUUUGUUUCGAUUAUCCCUUUGUUAAACUCCAAAGUCAAAGAGCUCUGAAAGGCAUACGGUUAUUUUAAGUUUCAGGUGAUUUCUGUUGCCAAAUAUUUUAAAAAUUUAAAAUUGCUACGUGACCUCUUAGUAGUACUAUUAGAUUUCCUGACAAUAAAAAUAAGUCUUUUGGUUUCACCAUUUAUAGUUAGUACAGCUAAUAUUAAGUAUAAUUUUAAAAGCCUUUUAUUUUCUCAGAAAGAAAAAAUAAUCAAAAUCUGCUCAGUGUGGUAUUGAAUAAUUAAAAACAAAAGAACAGUAUCUUCACAUUAGUGUUUAAUAUUAAUUGCUUUUUUACCCUUGACACUGGUGCUAAUUAAAUUUUCAUUUUAUUUUCCAUGACUUGUUUAAACAGUUUUUGCAAAUUAUUGCUAAUCAGCCUAAUAAAACUGAAUCACCUAUUAAACAAUUUUGUUUUGAAUUAAAUGGCAUUAAAAUAA